Molecule: long non-coding RNA, 462 nt
Filed under: Nicotiana benthamiana
Lineage: Eukaryota; Viridiplantae; Streptophyta; Magnoliopsida; Solanales; Solanaceae
Description: long non-coding RNA (NBEN_LNC005393)
Source: RNAcentral
GUGACACAAGUUGUCUUGCCCUCGUCCCCUUCGGCUAUGCGCACUUGAUAGUACCCCGAUCUUAGGUCAAGCUUUGUGUAAUACUUGGCCUUCCCUAAUUGAUCAAAAAGGUCAGCAAUAAGAGGAAUUGGAUACUUGUUUUUGAUUGUUACCUUAAUACUUAGCCUUCCCUAAUUGAUCAAAAAGGUCGGCAAUGAGAGGAAUUGGAUACUUGUUUUUGAUGGUUACCUUAUUGAGAGCCCGGUAGUCUAUGCAAAGUCGCUGCGAUCCGUCCUCCUUGCGUUGGAAUAACACCGGUGAACCAUACGGUGCCUUGGAAGGUUGGAUGAAGCCCAUCUCCAACAAUUCCGCCAACUGUCUCCGCAGCUCCUCUAAUUCUGGUGGCGCCAUCCGGUAGGGUGCUUUGGCUGGUGGCUUUGCCCCUGGCUCCAACUCGAUCUUGUGAUCCACCCCACGCCUGGG